CUGGUUGAUCCUGCCAGUAAUCAUAUGCUUGUCUUAAAGAUUAAGCCAUGCAUGUCUAAGUAUAAGCAAUUAUAUGGCGAAACUGCGAAUGGCUCAUUAAAUCAGUUAUAGUUUAUUUGAUAGUACCUAACUACUUGGAUAACCGUAGUAAUUCUAGAGCUAAUACAUGCUAAAAACCCCCUCACGGGGGUGUAUUUAUUAGAUAAAAAACCAAUGCAGGGGGCAACUCCUGGUUUACCGUUGAUUCACAAUAACUUCGCGAAUCGCAUGGCCUCGCGCCGGCGAUGAUUCAUUCAAAUUUCUGCCCUAUCAACUUUCGAUGGUAGUGUAGUGGACUACCAUGGUUGUAACGGGUGACGGAGAAUUAGGGUUCGGUUCCGGAGAGGGAGCCUGAGAGAUGGCUACCACUUCCAAGGAAGGCAGCAGGCGCGCAAAUUACCCAAUAUCAAUACGAUGAGGUAGUGACAAUAAAUAACAAUACGGGUCCCGACAAGGGUCUCGUAAUUGGAAUGAGUACAAUUUAAAUCCCUUAACGAGGAACAAUUGGAGGGCAAGUCUGGUGCCA
Molecule: ribosomal RNA, 565 nt
Filed under: uncultured eukaryote
Lineage: Eukaryota
Description: bacterial SSU rRNA
Rfam family: Eukaryotic small subunit ribosomal RNA
Source: RNAcentral